Molecule: ribosomal RNA, 253 nt
Filed under: uncultured bacterium
Lineage: Bacteria
Description: partial 16S ribosomal RNA
Rfam family: Bacterial small subunit ribosomal RNA
Source: RNAcentral
UACGUAGGGCGCGAGCGUUAUCCGGAUUCACUGGGUUUAAAGGGUGCGUAGGCGGGUUUGUAAGUCCGUGGUGAAAUCUCCGAGCUUAACUCGGAAACUGCCGUGGAUACUAUAGAUCUUGAAUGUCGUGGAGGUAAGCGGAAUAUGUCAUGUAGCGGUGAAAUGCUUAGAUAUGACAUAGAACACCAAUUGCGUAGGCAGCUUACUACACGAUUAUUGACGCUGAGGCUCGAAAGCGUGGGGAUCAAACAGG